AUUGAACGCUGGCGGCACGCCUUACACAUGCAAGUCGAACGGCAGCGGACCUUCGGGUGCCGGCGAGUGGCGAACGGGUGAGUAAUGCAUCGGAACGUGCCAUUGAGUGGGGGAUAACGUAGCGAAAGUUGCGCUAAUACCGCAUAUUCUGUGAGCAGGAAAGCAGGGGACCGCAAGGCCUUGCGCUCUUUGAGCGGCCGAUGUCAGAUUAGCUAGUUGGUGAGGUAACGGCUUACCAAGGCGACGAUCUGUAGCGGGUCUGAGAGGAUGAUCCGCCACACUGGAACUGAGACACGGUCCAGACUCCUACGGGAGGCAGCAGUGGGGAAUUUUGGACAAUGGGGGCAACCCUGAUCCAGCCAUGCCGCGUGAGUGAAGAAGGCCUCGGUUGUAAGAC
This 397-nucleotide ribosomal RNA is filed under the name uncultured bacterium. Its description in RNAcentral is "bacterial SSU rRNA". It matches the Rfam family "Bacterial small subunit ribosomal RNA", at positions 30 to 431 of the family's 1533-position model. The record is from RNAcentral.